Long non-coding RNA from Oreochromis aureus, 619 nucleotides. Lineage: Eukaryota; Metazoa; Chordata; Actinopteri; Cichliformes; Cichlidae. The record is from Ensembl.
GGGAAACAGAUCGGGGUCACGGACGAGUCCGAGAACCUGAGCACAAGAGAACUGCGGUGAGCAUAAACAGAGUAAUCACAGGACAAACGGGGUUUAUCGGGGAUGUACUGACGAGAGUAAGUCCACCACCCAGCAAAGAAGCCUUCUGAGCCUCAGCUUAAACAGCCCAGGAGUCCAGGUCAUCAGGUAGAUUCACGGCAGGUGCGUGGGCCAAGGGCGGAGCCCAGCUGAGCUCCGCCCAGGCAGACAGAUGCUUUGACAAGUCGUUUGCUGUCCCCAUGACUCAGGACCAACAACGUCGGUGCAGCACUGACCUGCAGCGUCUGUCUGAAGGCCUGAAACUCCUCCCACGCUGAUCACAGGAUGUGAUGUGUCAGAUGGGAGCGUGCCCGUGGGGAUCUGUGAUGUUCAAGGUCAGGACGUGUUUCAGCCUCUGCUGGCGUUGAUGUCACAGAAGAGUUAAAUCCUUCCUGUUUCAUCGUCCUCGUCUUCUGACAGCGAGCAGAGACGUGUCUGUGAUGGCGUUUGGUCGUGUCGACGUCUUGUUACGACGCGAGCGUUUCAUUUGAUGAACAGUCCUGAUGGACUGUGAUUGGUGAAACUGGAGACUUGCUCCUCC